This 272-nucleotide long non-coding RNA is filed under the name Ananas comosus (pineapple). RNAcentral describes it as "long non-coding RNA (ACOM_LNC033202)". Lineage: Eukaryota; Viridiplantae; Streptophyta; Magnoliopsida; Poales; Bromeliaceae. The record is from RNAcentral.
GACCGAGCGAGAGAGAGAGGAGAGCUCGAGAGCUCGAGCAAGAGCGGGGCGAGGGCGAGAGGGAGAGCGAGAGCAGCUGUGCUGUGCGAGAAAUAGAGAGAGCAAGAGGCAGAGAAAGAGAGCACGAAGCUGAAUUCUGCGAACAAACUGGAUUCUACAAGCUCCAAUCUCCUCUAUUCUCCGUCUCUACUUUCUCUCUGUUUCUCUUCUUCCAUCCUUGUCCCAAUUUUCGGCGAACUCAUGUCGUGCGGCCAUCCUCACAGUGUCACGCC